This 248-nucleotide ribosomal RNA is filed under the name uncultured bacterium. RNAcentral describes it as "partial 16S ribosomal RNA". It matches the Rfam family "Bacterial small subunit ribosomal RNA", at positions 104 to 339 of the family's 1533-position model. The record is from RNAcentral.
GGGUGAGUAACACGUGAGCAACCUGCCCGAAAGUGAGGAAUAGCCCGGGGAAACUCGGAUUAAUACCGCAUAUGAUUCUGCAAGGCAUCUUGUGGCAAUCAAAGCUGGGGAUCGUAAGACCUGGCGCUUUCGGAUGGGCUCGCGGCCUAUCAGCUUGUUGGUAAGGUAACGGCUUACCAAGGCUACGACGGGUAACUGGUCUGAGAGGACGACCAGUCACACUGGAACUGAGACACGGUCCAGACACC